This 253-nucleotide ribosomal RNA is filed under the name uncultured bacterium. RNAcentral describes it as "partial 16S ribosomal RNA". It matches the Rfam family "Bacterial small subunit ribosomal RNA", at positions 524 to 776 of the family's 1533-position model. The record is from RNAcentral.
UACGUGGGGGGCAAGCGUUGUCCGGAUUUAUUGGGCGUAAAGAGCGUGUAGGCGGCCAAGCAGGUCCGCUGUGAAAACUCGAGGCUCAACCUCGAGACGUCGGUGGAAACCGUUUGGCUAGAGUCCGGAAGAGGAGAGUGGAAUUCCCGGUGUAGCGGUGAAAUGCGCAGAUAUCGGGAAGAACACCCGUGGCGAAGGCGGCUCUCUGGGACGGUACUGACGCUGAGACGCGAAAGCGUGGGGAGCGAACAGG